Molecule: ribosomal RNA, 460 nt
Filed under: uncultured bacterium
Lineage: Bacteria
Description: partial 16S ribosomal RNA
Rfam family: Bacterial small subunit ribosomal RNA
Source: RNAcentral
CCUACGGGAGGCAGCAGUGAGGAAUAUUGGUCAAUGGACGAGAGUCUGAACCAGCCAAGUAGCGUGAAGAAUGACUGCCCUAUGGGUUGUAAACUUCUUUUAUAUGGGAAUAAAAUGUUCCACGUGUGGGAUUUUGUAUGUACCAUAUGAAUAAGGAUCGGCUAACUCCGUGCCAGCAGCCGCGGUAAUACGGAGUAUCCGAGCGUUCGCCGGAUUUAUUGGGUUUAAAGGGAGCGGCGGUAGAUUGUUAAGUCAGUUGUGAAAGUUUGCGGAUCAACCGUAAAAUUGCAGUUGAGACUGGCAGACUUGAGUACAGUAGAGGUGGGCGGAAUUCGUGGUGUAGCGGUGAAAUGCUUAGAUAUCACGAAGAACUCCGAUUGCGAAGGCAGUUCACUGGACUGCAACUGACACUGAGGCUCGAAAGUGUGGGUAUCAAACAGGAUUAGAUACCCCAGUAGUC